AUGACCUCAGUUUGGCCAGCUAUACUCUCUCCCAGAACCCUGAAUCUUGAUAGCAGAUGGAAUAAGUAUUCUGCGGCGCACCCACACCAGGCCAGGCAGCAUCCUCUGCUCUGUGUUCUUGCCACAUCUGUCAUCCAAUCCUUUGCGCACUCCCUUCCUUAUCAGUUAAAAACCCCCUUUGCUUAAGCAGGGCAGAGUCAUUUUCUGUUGCUGACAGCCAAAGAAUCUUAAGCAAGAGAAUCCACGAGCUUUUCAUCACUCUGUACAUCUGCCGAAGAUCCUCAAUCUGCCGUGCUGAUCGCUGCCUCAACACCUGGUAUCGUGCUCCUUCCCACACAUCAGGAAAACUGAAAACAGAAGGCAGGAGAACCACCCAAGCUCCUAUUAAAGAACUGUCCAUAGCAAAAGCAACCUACAUAUCGUCGCUGAAUGUGGAAAAAGAAAGGACUUAUGAAAAACAAGCACACUGAGGAGGGGAGGAGGCCCAGGGGGAACCGAGCUUGCACAGGCAUUAAAGUCCACAUGGGAUCUGGUUCACAUGAGCACUCAGCAUGCCCUGGAAGAGCACAGGGUCACAAAAGGUCAACCAGAAGAGAAUGGAGAGGGAACGGAUCUUGGAUGUCAAGAGGACCGGAAGAGUUCCACAGAAGAUGAUGAUGCUUGGAUGGACACCUCCACUUAGGAAUGUCUUUUCUUGAGAAUAGGGUUCCUAGCGAGCUGAAGCCUGAGAAAGGUGGGGACAUAGUCACAUCUGCACGACCAGGAGCUGUGAAAACUAGGUCAUUGAUCUGAGCCAGGAUCUGCCAUGCCCCCAGUGUGACUGCUGGUAAUAGAACCUAGCUUCAGAUUAGGGCCCAGAUGGGCCCCAAAACAAACAG
This is a long non-coding RNA of Eubalaena glacialis (North Atlantic right whale), 878 nucleotides long. RefSeq lists it as uncharacterized. NCBI's taxonomy places the organism in Eukaryota, Metazoa, Chordata, Mammalia, Artiodactyla, Balaenidae. The record is from RefSeq and is a predicted model, not a curated record. The transcript has 4 exons.